GCUAAUACCGGAUAAUAUUUUGAACCGCAUGGUUCAAUAGUGAAAGACGGUUUCGGCUGUCACUUAUAGAUGGACCCGCGCCGUAUUAGCUAGUUGGUAAGGUAACGGCUUACCAAGGCGACGAUACGUAGCCGACCUGAGAGGGUGAUCGGCCACACUGGAACUGAGACACGGUCCAGACUCCUACGGGAGGCAGCAGUAGGGAAUCUUCCGCAAUGGGCGAAAGCCUGACGGAGCAACGCCGCGUGAGUGAUGAAGGUCUUCGGAUCGUAAAACUCUGUUGUUAGGGAAGAACAAAUUUGUUAGUAACUGAACAAGUCUUGACGGUACCUAACCAGAAAGCCACGGCUAACUACGUGCCAGCAGCCGCGGUAAUACGUAGGUGGCAAGCGUUAUCCGGAAUUAUUGGGCGUAAAGCGCGCGUAGGCGGUUUCUUAAGUCUGAUGUGAAAGCCCACGGCUCAACCGUGGAGGGUCAUUGGAAACUGGGAAACUUGAGUGCAGAAGAGGAGAGUGGAAUUCCAUGUGUAGCGGUGAAAUGCGCAGAGAUAUGGAGGAACACCAGUGGCGAAGGCGGCUCUCUGGUCUGUAACUGACGCUGAUGUGCGAAAGCGUGGGGAUCAAACAGGAUUAGAUACCCUGGUAGUCCACGCCGUAAACGAUGAGUGCUAAGUGUUAGGGGGUUUCCGCCCCUUAGUGCUGCAGCUAACGCAUUAAGCACUCCGGCCUGGGAGUACGACCGCAAGGUUGAAACUCAANGAAUUGACGGGGACNCGCACAAGCGGUGGAGCAUGUGGUUUA
Molecule: ribosomal RNA, 800 nt
Filed under: Mammaliicoccus sciuri
Lineage: Bacteria; Bacillati; Bacillota; Bacilli; Caryophanales; Staphylococcaceae
Description: bacterial SSU rRNA
Rfam family: Bacterial small subunit ribosomal RNA
Source: RNAcentral